RNAcentral lists this ribosomal RNA (507 nucleotides) under uncultured bacterium. RNAcentral describes it as "bacterial SSU rRNA". It matches the Rfam family "Bacterial small subunit ribosomal RNA", at positions 21 to 518 of the family's 1533-position model. The record is from RNAcentral.
GGCUCAGGAUGAACGCUAGCUACAGGCUUAACACAUGCAAGUCGAGGGGCAUCAGGGAUCUAGCUUGCUAGAUCUGCUGGCGACCGGCGCACGGGUGAGUAACGCGUAUCCAACCUUCCCCAUAGUAGAGGAUAGCCCGGUGAAAAUCGGAUUAAUACUCUAUGUUGUAUAACUAGGACAUCUGAAUUAUACCAAAGGUUUACCGCUAUGGGAUGGGGAUGCGUCUGAUUAGGUUGUGGCGGGGUAACGGCCCACCAAGCCAUCGAUCAGUAGGGGUUCUGAGAGGAAGGUCCCCCACAUUGGAACUGAGACACGGUCCAAACUCCUACGGGAGGCAGCAGUGAGGAAUAUUGGUCAAUGGGCGCGAGCCUGAACCAGCCAAGUAGCGUGCAGGAUGACGGCCCUAUGGGUUGUAAACUGCUUUUAUGCGGGGAUAAAGUGCAGCACGUGUGCUGUUUUGUAGGUACCGCAUGAAUAAGGACCGGCUAAUUCCGUGCCAGCAGCUGC